UUAAGCGACUAAGCGUACACGGUGGAUGCCCUGGCAGUCAGAGGCGAUGAAGGACGUGCUAAUCUGCGAAAAGCGUCGGUAAGGUGAUAUGAACCGUUACAGCCGGCGAUGUCCGAAUGGGGAAACCCAGUGCAAUUCGUUGCACUAUCGUUAACUGAAUACAUAGGUUAACGAGGCGAACCGGGGGAACUGAAACAUCUAAGUACCCCGAGGAAAAGAAAUCAACCGAGAUUCCCCCAGUAGCGGCGAGCGAACGGGGAGCAGCCCAGAGUCUGAAUCAGCUUGUGUGUUAGUGGAACGGUCUGGAAAGUCCGACGGUACAGGGUGAUAGUCCCGUACACCAAAAUGCACAGGCUGUGAACUCGAAGAGUAGGGCGGGACACGUGGUAUCCUGUCUGAAUAUGGGGGGACCAUCCUCCAAGGCUAAAUACUCCUGACUGACCGAUAGUGAACCAGUACCGUGAGGGAAAGGCGAAAAGAACCCCGGCGAGGGGAGUGAAAAAGAACCUGAAACCGUGUACGUACAAGCAGUGGGAGCACCUUUAUGGUGUGACUGCGUACCUUUUGUAUAAUGGGUCAGCGACUUAUAUUCUGUAGCAAGGUUAACCGUAUAGGGGAGCCGCAGGGAAACCGAGUCUUAACUGGGCGUUAAGUUGCAGGGUAUAGACCCGAAACCCGGUGAUCUAGCCAUGGGCAGGUUGAAGGUUGGGUAACACUAACUGGAGGACCGAACCGACUAAUGUUGAAAAAUUAGCGGAUGACUUGUGGCUGGGGGUGAAAGGCCAAUCAAACCGGGAGAUAGCUGGUUCUCCCCGAAAGCUAUUUAGGUAGCGCCUCGUGAAUUCAUCUUCGGGGGUAGAGCACUGUUUCGGCUAGGGGGUCAUCCCGACUUACCAACCCGAUGCAAACUACGAAUACCGAAGAAUGUUAUCACGGGAGACACACGGCGGGUGCUAACGUCCGUCGUGAAGAGGGAAACAACCCAGACCGCCAGCUAAGGUCCCAAAGUCAUGGUUAAGUGGGAAACGAUGUGGGAAGGCACAGACAGCCAGGAUGUUGGCUUAGAAGCAGCCAUCAUUUAAAGAAAGCGUAAUAGCUCACUGGUCGAGUCGGCCUGCGCGGAAGAUGUAACGGGGCUAAACCAUGCACCGAAGCUGCGGCAGCGACACGAUGUGUUGUUGGGUAGGGGAGCGUUCUGUAAGCCUGCGAAGGUGACCUGUGAGGGUUGCUGGAGGUAUCAGAAGUGCGAAUGCUGACAUAAGUAACGAUAAAGCGGGUGAAAAGCCCGCUCGCCGGAAGACCAAGGGUUCCUGUCCAACGUUAAUCGGGGCAGGGUGAGUCGACCCCUAAGGCGAGGCCGAAAGGCGUAGUCGAUGGGAAACAGGUUAAUAUUCCUGUACUUGGUGUUACUGCGAAGGGGGGACGGAGAAGGCUAUGUUAGCCGGGCGACGGUUGUCCCGGUUUAAGCAUGUAGGCUGGUUAUCCAGGCAAAUCCGGAUAAUCAAGGCUGAGGUGUGAUGACGAGGCACUACGGUGCUGAAGUAACAAAUGCCCUGCUUCCAGGAAAAGCCUCUAAGCAUCAGGUAACACGAAAUCGUACCCCAAACCGACACAGGUGGUCAGGUAGAGAAUACCAAGGCGCUUGAGAGAACUCGGGUGAAGGAACUAGGCAAAAUGGUGCCGUAACUUCGGGAGAAGGCACGCUGGUGUGUAGGUGAAGUCCCUGCGGAUGGAGCUGAGACCAGUCGAAGAUACCAGCUGGCUGCAACUGUUUAUUAAAAACACAGCACUGUGCAAACACGAAAGUGGACGUAUACGGUGUGACGCCUGCCCGGUGCCGGAAGGUUAAUUGAUGGGGUUAUCCGUAAGGAGAAGCUCUUGAUCGAAGCCCCGGUAAACGGCGGCCGUAACUAUAACGGUCCUAAGGUAGCGAAAUUCCUUGUCGGGUAAGUUCCGACCUGCACGAAUGGCGUAAUGAUGGCCAGGCUGUCUCCACCCGAGACUCAGUGAAAUUGAACUCGCUGUGAAGAUGCAGUGUACCCGCGGCAAGACGGAAAGACCCCGUGAACCUUUACUAUAGCUUGACACUGAACAUUGAGCCUUGAUGUGUAGGAUAGGUGGGAGGCUUUGAAGCGUGGACGCCAGUCUGCGUGGAGCCAACCUUGAAAUACCACCCUUUAAUGUUUGAUGUUCUAACGUUGGCCCCUUACCGGGGUUGCGGACAGUGUCUGGUGGGUAGUUUGACUGGGGCGGUCUCCUCCCAAAGCGUAACGGAGGAGCACGAAGGUUAGCUAAUCCUGGUCGGACAUCAGGAGGUUAGUGCAAUGGCAUAAGCUAGCUUGACUGCGAGCGUGACGGCGCGAGCAGGUGCGAAAGCAGGUCAUAGUGAUCCGGUGGUUCUGAAUGGAAGGGCCAUCGCUCAACGGAUAAAAGGUACUCCGGGGAUAACAGGCUGAUACCGCCCAAGAGUUCAUAUCGACGGCGGUGUUUGGCACCUCGAUGUCGGCUCAUCACAUCCUGGGGCUGAAGUAGGUCCCAAGGGUAUGGCUGUUCGCCAUUUAAAGUGGUACGCGAGCUGGGUUUAGAACGUCGUGAGACAGUUCGGUCCCUAUCUGCCGUGGGCGCUGGAGAAUUGAGGGGGGCUGCUCCUAGUACGAGAGGACCGGAGUGGACGCAUCACUGGUGUUCGGGUUGUCAUGCCAAUGGCACUGCCCGGUAGCUAAAUGCGGAAGAGAUAAGUGCUGAAAGCAUCUAAGCACGAAACUUGCCCCGAGAUGAGUUCUCCCUGAGACUUUAAGUCUCCUGAAGGAACGUUAAAGACGAUGACGUUGAUAGGCCGGGUGUGUAAGCGCAGCGAUGCGUUGAGCUAACCGGUACUAAUGAACCGUGAGGCUUAACCUU
Molecule: ribosomal RNA, 2901 nt
Filed under: Klebsiella pneumoniae
Lineage: Bacteria; Pseudomonadati; Pseudomonadota; Gammaproteobacteria; Enterobacterales; Enterobacteriaceae
Also listed under: 1 other name
Description: bacterial LSU rRNA
Rfam family: Bacterial large subunit ribosomal RNA
Source: RNAcentral